UACGGAGGGUGCGAGCGUUGUCCGGAAUCAUUGGGCGUAAAGGGCGCGUAGGUGGCCCGGUCAGUUCGUGGUGAAGCGCGGGGCUCAACCCUGCGUCGGCCAUGAAUACUGCCGCGGCUGGAGCACUGUAGAGGCAGGCGGAAUUCCGGGUGUAGCGGUGGAAUGCGUAGAGAUCCGGAAGAACACCGGUGGCGAAGGCGGCCGCUGGGCAGUAGCUGGACAACUGAGCGCGACAGCGUGGGGAGCAACAGGAUAGAUACCCGGUAGUCA
RNAcentral lists this ribosomal RNA (270 nucleotides) under uncultured bacterium. Its description in RNAcentral is "partial 16S ribosomal RNA". It matches the Rfam family "Bacterial small subunit ribosomal RNA", at positions 524 to 796 of the family's 1533-position model. The record is from RNAcentral.